ACGAACGCUGGCGGCACGCUUAACACAUGCAAGUCGAACGAGCGGGGAGAAGCUUGCUUUUCAAAGCUAGUGGCGGACGGGUGAGUAACACGUGAGCAAUCUGCCUUUCAGAGGGGGAUACCUGUUGGAAACGACAGUUAAUACCGCAUAAAAUAAUUUUACCGCAUGAUAAAAUUAUCAAAGAUUUAUCGCUGAAAGAUGAGCUCGCGUCUGAUUAGCUAGUUGGUAAGGUAACGGCCUACCAAGGCAACGAUCAGUAGCCGGACUGAGAGGUUGGACGGCCACAUUGGGACUGAGACACGGCCCAGACUCCUACGGGAGGCAGCAGUGGGGAAUAUUGCACAAUGGAGGAAACUCUGAUGCAGCGAUGCCGCGUGAGGGAAGAAGGUUUUAGGAUUGUAAACCUCUGUCUUAGGGGACGAUAAUGACGGUACCCUAGGAGGAAGCUCCGGCUAACUACGUGCCAGCAGCCGCGGUAAUACGUAGGGAGCGAGCGUUGUCCGGAAUUACUGGGUGUAAAGGGAGUGUAGGCGGGACUGCAAGUCAGAUGUGAGAACUAUGGGCUUAACCCAUAGACUGCAUUUGAAACUGCGGUUCUUGAGUGAAGUAGAGGUAAGCGGAAUUCCUAGUGUAGCGGUGAAAUGCGUAGAUAUUAGGAGGAACAUCAGUGGCGAAGGCGGCUUACUGGGCUUUAACUGACGCUGAGGCUCGAAAAGCGUGGGGAGCAAACAGGAUUAGAUACCCUGGUAGUCCACGCUGUAAACGAUGAUUACUAGGUGUGGGGGGACUGACCCCUUCCGUGCCGCAGUUAACACAAUAAGUAAUCCACCUGGGGAGUACGGCCGCAAGGCUGAAACUCAAAGGAAUUGACGGGGGCCCGCACAAGCAGUGGAGUAUGUGGAUUAAUUCGAAGCAACGCGAAGAACCUUACCAGGUCUUGACAUCGUAUGCAUAGCUCAGAGAUGAGUGAAAUCCCUUCGGGGACAUAUAGACAGGUGGUGCAUGGUUGUCGUCAGCUCGUGUCGUGAGAUGUUGGGUUAAGUCCCGCAACGAGCGCAACCCUUAUGUUUAGUUGCUACGCAAGAGCACUCUAGACAGACUGCCGUUGACAAAACGGAGGAAGGUGGGGAUGACGUCAAAUCAUCAUGCCCCUUAUGACCUGGGCCUCACACGUACUACAAUGGCUAUAAACAAAGUGAAGCAAGACAGUGAUGUGGAGCAAAACACAAAAAAUAGUCUUAGUUCGGAUUGUAGGCUGCAACCCGCCUACAUGAAGUCGGAAUUGCUAGUAAUCGCAGAUCAGCAUGCUGCGGUGAAUACGUUCCCGGGCCUUGUACACACCGCCCGUCACACCAUGGAAGUCGGUAACACCCGAAGCCAGUAGUCUAACCGUAAGGAGGACGCUGUCGAAGGUGGGAUUGAUGACUGGGGUGAA
RNAcentral lists this ribosomal RNA (1435 nucleotides) under uncultured organism. RNAcentral describes it as "SSU rRNA". It matches the Rfam family "Bacterial small subunit ribosomal RNA". The record is from RNAcentral.